This is a long non-coding RNA of Solanum stenotomum, 318 nucleotides long. RefSeq lists it as uncharacterized. The transcript has 2 exons. The record is from RefSeq and is a predicted model, not a curated record. Lineage: Eukaryota; Viridiplantae; Streptophyta; Magnoliopsida; Solanales; Solanaceae.
UUUUUGUUACUAGGUUAUGUUCUUCAUUGCUUUCCCAUGUUUCUCUGGAAAGGGAAAAAACACCAGUGUGAUCGAUUACUGAAUUUAUGAAUAUCUGGGAUUAACUAGGUUUGUGUAUUUAUGAGGUUUUCACGGAAGAAAGAUGUCCUCCAGAUUUAUCUUUCAAAGAUAGAAACAACCGCCUGGAGAUCCCUGAGUUGAAUGUCAGCUUACACACUAGGUGUGAAGCUCAAUCUGCUCCAGCCUUAGUGAUGUGGAUUGCCUUGGUAAUAUGUGUUUGUCGGCUGGACAGGCUGCCUGGUGUAUUGGCUUAGGUGC